Long non-coding RNA from Thalassophryne amazonica, 311 nucleotides. RefSeq lists it as uncharacterized. The transcript has 3 exons. The record is from RefSeq and is a predicted model, not a curated record. Lineage: Eukaryota; Metazoa; Chordata; Actinopteri; Batrachoidiformes; Batrachoididae.
UUGGUCACCAUUUCUGUACCACAUUCACUGACAAAACUAAAGUAACAUGUCGGAGCCUGUUUUGUAUUUAACCAUGACAACCUUUGCUUUUAUGUCAUUCAGACACAACCGUUGGACAGAACUUCAGAUUGGUCUGAAAUGGAAAGUCCACAAGAUACGAGCCACACCCAGCCAGAAAGAUCCAGCCCUCAAUCUGGCAGGAGAAGAAGAAGUGACUCUGAAGACUCCGUUGAUGCUGUGACACAGGAGUCAAAAAGGAGGAGGACUGCAGGAGGAGCAGCAGCCCAAAAUGAUGGUUCCUCAAGCUCCUC